This 691-nucleotide ribosomal RNA is filed under the name uncultured bacterium. Its description in RNAcentral is "bacterial SSU rRNA". It matches the Rfam family "Bacterial small subunit ribosomal RNA", at positions 56 to 718 of the family's 1533-position model. The record is from RNAcentral.
UGCAGUCGACGGAGAAUUUCAAUAAGCUUGCUUAGAGAAAUUUUUAGUGGCGGACGGGUGAGUAACGCGUGGGUAACCUACCCAUAAAGCCGGGACAACCCUUGGAAACGAGGGCUAAUACCGGAUAAUCUUAAGCUUUGGCAUCAAAGUAUAAGGAAAGGUGGCCUCUGAGUAUGCUACCGAUUAUGGAUGGACCCGCGUCUGAUUAGCUAGUUGGUGGGGUAAAGGCCUACCAAGGCGACGAUCAGUAGCCGGCCUGAGAGGGUGAACGGCCACACUGGGACUGAGACACGGCCCAGACUCCUACGGGAGGCAGCAGUGGGGAAUCUUCCGCAAUGGACGAAAGUCUGACGGAGCAACGCCGCGUGUAUGAUGAAGGUCUUCGGAUUGUAAAGUACUGUCUUUGGGGAAGAAUGACUGGUUUGAAAAUAUUGAGCCAGUAUGACGGUACCCAAGGAGGAAGCCCCGGCUAACUACGUGCCAGCAGCCGCGGUAAUACGUAGGGGGCAAGCGUUGUCCGGAAUUAUUGGGCGUAAAGGGCGCGUAGGCGGAUGUUUAAGUCCGGUGUGAAAGAUCAGGGCUCAACCCUGAGAGUGCAUCGGAAACUGGGCAUCUUGAGGACAGGAGAGGAAAGUGGAAUUCCACGUGUAGCGGUGAAAUGCGUAGAUAUGUGGAGGAACACCAGUGGCGA